This 274-nucleotide ribosomal RNA is filed under the name uncultured bacterium. Its description in RNAcentral is "partial 16S ribosomal RNA". It matches the Rfam family "Bacterial small subunit ribosomal RNA", at positions 523 to 796 of the family's 1533-position model. The record is from RNAcentral.
CUACGGGGGGUGCGAGCGUUAUCCGGAUUUAUUAGGUUUAAAGGGUGUGUAGGCGGGAGCCUAAGUCAGUGGUGAAAUCUCACAGCUUAACUGUGAAACUGCCAUUGAAACUGGGUUUCUUGAGUAUAGUUGAGGUAGGCGGAAUGUGUAAUGUAGCGGUGAAAUGCAUAGAUAUUACACAGAACACCGAUUGCGAAGGCAGCUUACUAAGCUAUUACUGACGCUGAUGCACGAAAGCGUGGGUAGCGAACAGGAUUAGAAACCCCAGUAGUCC